Cydia splendana is the source of this 331-nucleotide long non-coding RNA. RefSeq lists it as uncharacterized. The record is from RefSeq and is a predicted model, not a curated record. The transcript is spliced from 3 exons. NCBI's taxonomy places the organism in Eukaryota, Metazoa, Arthropoda, Insecta, Lepidoptera, Tortricidae.
UUUGCCCCCUUGUAAAACAAAUAACUGUAUCAUCCAUACAGAGAAAAAUAAGAAUAAGUCGUAAACCUGGUCAAGUAUCAUGGAAACUGUUUCUUUGGCUGUUCCCAGCUUCAUCUUCUUAAUUCCCGCUUCACCGUGCACUCCCGCGCCUAGUUCCAUCUCAUCAGCAGCUAUCUCGAACAGCGGCGGUUGACCUGAAUUUCAAAACGGAGUAAAUUACAUGAGCACGUGCCCCGUGGGUGGCGAAGCGAACACGCCGCCCGCCACCGCGCCGUCCAGCAUGCCGCUUCCCACCAGACCUGGACACAAAUUCCUACUAUAUCUGCGGCCA